CGGACUGGACCAGCGGCCGCCGGGGACCAUCAAACUCUUGUAUUAUCAGCAUCUUCUGAAUACGCCGCAAGGCAAAACAAAUAAAUUAAAACUUUCAACAACGGAUCUCUUGGCUCUGGCAUCGAUGAAGAACGCAGCGAAAUGCGAUAAGUAAUGUGAAUUGCAGAAUCCAGUGAAUCAUCGAAUCUUUGAACGCACAUUGCGCCCGCCAGCAUUCUGGCGGGCAUGCCUGUUCGAGCGUCAUUUCAACCCUCGACCUCCCUUUGGGGAAGUCGGCGUUGGGGACCGGCAGCACACCGCCGGCCCUGAAAUGGAGUGGCGGCCCGUCCGCGGCGACCUCUGCGUAGUAAACCAACUCGCACCGGAACCCCGACGUGGCCACGCCGUAAAACACCCAACUUCUGAACGUUGACCUCGAAUCAGGUAGGACUACCCGCUGAACUUAA
This 446-nucleotide ribosomal RNA is filed under the name Beauveria bassiana. Its description in RNAcentral is "eukaryotic LSU rRNA". The stretch from base 90 to 243 matches the Rfam family "5.8S ribosomal RNA". The record is from RNAcentral. Lineage: Eukaryota; Fungi; Ascomycota; Sordariomycetes; Hypocreales; Cordycipitaceae.